CGCCAGACUCCUACGGGAGGCAGCAGUGGGGAAUAUUGCACAAUGGGCGAAAGCCUGAUGCAGCAACGCCGCGUGAAGGAAGAAGGCUUUCGGGUUGUAAACUUCUUUUAUUCGGGACGAAGAAAGUGACGGUACCGAAUGAAUAAGCCACGGCUAACUACGUGCCAGCAGCCGCGGUAAUACGUAGGUGGCAAGCGUUAUCCGGAUUUAUUGGGUGUAAAGGGCGUGUAGGCGGGAAUGCAAGUCAGAUGUGAAAACUCAGGGCUCAACCCUGAGCCUGCAUUUGAAACUGUAUUUCUUGAGUGCUGGAGAGGCAAUCGGAAUUCCGUGUGUAGCGGUGAAAUGCGUAGAUAUUAGGAGGAACACCAGUGGCGAAGGCGGCCUGCUGGACGACAACUGACGGUGAGGCGCGAAAGCGUGGGGAGCAAACAGGAUUAGAUACCCGGGUAGC
Molecule: ribosomal RNA, 451 nt
Filed under: uncultured bacterium
Lineage: Bacteria
Description: bacterial SSU rRNA
Rfam family: Bacterial small subunit ribosomal RNA
Source: RNAcentral